GUCGAGGAUCUUCCGCAAUGCGCGAAAGCGUGACGGAGCGACGCCGCGUGGGUGAUGAAGGCCUUCGGGUUGUAAAGCCCUGUCACCUGGGAAGAAUGGCGGGAGGUUAAUAGCCAUCUCGUCUGACGCUACCAGGGGAGGAAGCACCGGCUAAAUACGUGCCAGCAGCCGCGGUAAUACGUAUGGUGCGAACGUUGUUCGGAAUCACUGGGCAUAAAGAGCACGUAGGCGGUUGAGCAAGUCCAUUGUGAAAUCCCCCGGCUUAACCGGGGAAUUGCAGUGGUUACUACUUGACUUGAGUACAGGAGGGGAGAGUGGAAUUCCAGGUGGAGCGGUGAAAUGCGUAGAUAUCUGGAGGAACGCCGGUGGCGAAAGCGACUCUCUGGUCUGUUACUGACGCUGAGGUGCGAAAGCUAGGGGAGCAAACGGGAUUAGAAACCCGUGUAGUCC
RNAcentral lists this ribosomal RNA (450 nucleotides) under uncultured bacterium. RNAcentral's name for it is "bacterial SSU rRNA". It matches the Rfam family "Bacterial small subunit ribosomal RNA", at positions 354 to 796 of the family's 1533-position model. The record is from RNAcentral.